Molecule: ribosomal RNA, 517 nt
Filed under: uncultured fungus
Lineage: Eukaryota; Fungi
Description: eukaryotic LSU rRNA
Rfam family: 5.8S ribosomal RNA (bases 32-186)
Source: RNAcentral
GUGUUGUCUGGAGCUACAAGCAACGAAUCUAAACUUUCACCAACCGGAUCUCUUGGUUCUGGCAUCGAUGAAGAACGCAGCGAAAUGCGAUAAGUAGUGUGAAUUGCAGAGUUCAGUGAAUCAUCGAAUCUUUGAACGCACAUUGCGCCCCUUGGUAUCCCGAGGGGCAUGCCUGUUCGAGCGUCAUUUCACCACUCAAGCCUGGCUUGGUGUUGGGCGACGUCCCCUUUGGGGACGCGCCUCGAAACGCUCGGCGGCGUGGCACCGGCUUUAAGCGUAGCAGAAUCUUUCGCUUUGGAAGUCGGGGCCCCGUUUGCCGGAAGACCUACUCGCAAGGUUGACCUCGGAUCAGGCAGGGAUACCCGCUGAACUUAAGCAUAUCAAUAAGCGGAGGAAAAGAAACCAACAGGGAUUGCCUCAGUAACGGCGAGUGAAGCGGCACAGCUCAAAUUUGAAACUGGCUCUUUUAGGGUCCGAGUUGUAAUGUGAGACUCGGCGUGGCUCGGCUAAGUCGUCC